AAGAUACACUGUGCAACAACAACAUUAACAUUUGCAUUAACUCUAAAAUCAGAGGAAACACAAAUACAUAUUUCUAAAACUACCAAAAAUUAAUAAUAAUGUGCAUAUCUCUCAAAGGUUAUCCAUCUUCUUCUUCUUCUUCUCCUCGAUCAUGUACUUGUGAACUCUCUCAGCUUUACUUUUCAUCUCCUCUAUCAUCUCCUCUGUCGUAUUAAGGAUCUGCUUCCGCAAAUAAACCUCCAUAUAAUCAAACCACUCCCCCAGUGUCAUCUUCGCCAAAUCCACCUUCUGCUCUUGAACCCCAUUGUCCACUGUAUCCUCAACCUUAUCACAAGUUUCUUUAGCAUCUCCCUCUUUGGCCACUUCCUCUGAUUUCAAGUUUUCGUUACCAUCAGCUUGAACUUCACAAGUCUUGGAUACUUCCUCUGGAACCAGACGUUCCUUCCCUUCAGUUUCAACUUCACUACUCUGCGGUGGCAUUUCCUGUAAUUUCUUCUUCCUUCCUCUACCUUUUCGAGUAAUUUUACUCUCAGUCGCCGCCAUCUCUCCACGAUCACAUCCCAAAUUCAAUGCGUUCAUCCGGCUCCGAGUGACUCUCACACCAGCAGUCAGGGUCACAUUCGUCUUUUCCUUACCAUCAACUUGAACUUGACACUUCUUCGAUGUUUCCUUACCUGGUCUAAAAUUUUCUUUACAAUAAACUUGAACUCCAAGUACUUCAAGAGGUUCCAAAUUCUCUUCACUCUCAAUUUUAACUUUGCCGCCAUCCAGUGGCAUUUCCUGUAAAUCUUUGCUCCUUUCCCUACCCUUUUUGGUAAGUUUACUCUCACUCUCAAUCUCUCCACCCUCUUCUAGUUCCAAAUUCUCCUUGCUUUCAAUUUGAACUUCGACACUCUCCGGUGGCAUUUCUUGUAAAUUCUUGUUCCUUCCCCUACCCUUUAUGGCAAUUUUACUCUGAUCUUCAAUCUGUCCACCUUCUAAUCCCAAAGUCUCGACGGGUUCCGCCUCCGCCUUCUUACGACCCCUAGUCGCUCUCACACUGGAAGUCCCGGGCACAUUCGCUUGACGCCUCGGAUUCCUCUUCGGCUUCGCGACCGACUCAAUUUGCAUUAACUCUAAAAUCAGAGGAAACACAAAUACAUAUUUCUAAAACUACCAAAAAUUAAUAAUAAUGUGCAUAUCUCUCAAAGGUUAUCCAUCUUCUUCUUCUUCUUCUCCUCGAUCAUGUACUUGUGAACUCUCUCAGCUUUACUUUUCAUCUCCUCUAUCAUCUCCUCUGUCGUAUUAAGGAUCUGCUUCCGCAAAUAAACCUCCAUAUAAUCAAACCACUCCCCCAGUGUCAUCUUCGCCAAAUCCACCUUCUGCUCUUGAACCCCAUUGUCCACUGUAUCCUCAACCUUAUCACAAGUUUCUUUAGCAUCUCCCUCUUUGGCCACUUCCUCUGAUUUCAAGUUUUCGUUACCAUCAGCUUGAACUUCACAAGUCUUGGAUACUUCCUCUGGAACCAGACGUUCCUUCCCUUCAGUUUCAACUUCACUACUCUGCGGUGGCAUUUCCUGUAAUUUCUUCUUCCUUCCUCUACCUUUUCGAGUAAUUUUACUCUCAGUCGCCGCCAUCUCUCCACGAUCACAUCCCAAAUUCAAUGCGUUCAUCCGGCUCCGAGUGACUCUCACACCAGCAGUCAGGGUCACAUUCGUCUUUUCCUUACCAUCAACUUGAACUUGACACUUCUUCGAUGUUUCCUUACCUGGUCUAAAAUUUUCUUUACAAUAAACUUGAACUCCAAGUACUUCAAGAGGUUCCAAAUUCUCUUCACUCUCAAUUUUAACUUUGCCGCCAUCCAGUGGCAUUUCCUGUAAAUCUUUGCUCCUUUCCCUACCCUUUUUGGUAAGUUUACUCUCACUCUCAAUCUCUCCACCCUCUUCUAGUUCCAAAUUCUCCUUGCUUUCAAUUUGAACUUCGACACUCUCCGGUGGCAUUUCUUGUAAAUUCUUGUUCCUCCCCCGACCCUUUUUGGUAAUUUUACUCUGAUCUUCAAUCUGUCCACCUUCUAAUCCGAAAGUCUCGACGGGUUCCGCCUCCGCCUUCGUACGACCCCUAGUCGCCCUCACACUGGAAGUCCCGGGCACAUUCGCUUGACGCCUCGGAUUCC
Molecule: long non-coding RNA, 2152 nt
Filed under: Citrus sinensis (sweet orange)
Lineage: Eukaryota; Viridiplantae; Streptophyta; Magnoliopsida; Sapindales; Rutaceae
Description: long non-coding RNA (CSIN_LNC003812)
Source: RNAcentral